UACUCCUACGGGAGGCAGCAGUAAGGAAUAUUGCUCAAUGGCCGAAAGGCUGAAGCAGCAACGCCGCGUGAAGGAUGAAAGGCUUUUGCUUGUAAACUUCUGUAAGAAGGGAAAAAUAAAUUUAUUCAUAGAUUUUGAUUGUACCUUCAGAGUAAGCCCCGGCUAACUACGUGCCAGCAGCCGCGGUAAUACGUAGGGGGCAAGCGUUGUCCGGAUUUACUGGGUGUAAAGGGUGCUCAGGUGGGUUUGUAAGUCAGAGGUGAAACCCCGAAGCUUAACUUCGGAACUGCCUUUGAUACUGCAUCCCUGGAGUUUGAGAGAGGCGAGUGGAAUAUCUGGUGUAGCAGUGAAAUGCGUAGAUAUCAGAUAGAACACCAAUGGCGAAGGCAGCUCGCUGGCUCAAUACUGACGCUAAAGCACGAAAGUGUGGGGAGCAAACAGGAUUAGAUACCCUGGUAGUCCACACCCUAAACGAUGAAUACUAGAUGUUGGUCUCUUUCUAGGGAUCAGUAUCUGAGCUAACGCAUUAAGUAUUCCACCUGGGAAGUACGAUCGCAAGGUUGAAACUCAAAGGAAUUGACGG
This 583-nucleotide ribosomal RNA is filed under the name uncultured Pedomicrobium sp. RNAcentral's name for it is "bacterial SSU rRNA". It matches the Rfam family "Bacterial small subunit ribosomal RNA", at positions 334 to 916 of the family's 1533-position model. Lineage: Bacteria; Pseudomonadati; Pseudomonadota; Alphaproteobacteria; Hyphomicrobiales; Hyphomicrobiaceae. The record is from RNAcentral.